CCGUAGAUUUUGAUAUUCAUUAUUUUAGAUUCCAUUAUUUUGUAUAGUAAAAUGGAAAUUUAACUUUUUGGAACACAGGAGAGUUUUGCCGUAUGAUUGAAGAUAGAGCAUAAUCGAUCAUACAAAUAUAAUAAAUCAAGGUUAAGGUUAAAAUUGAAUAUUGUAACCAAUCACGUUCGUCAAAUCCACCUAAAUCGGUGCUUCACGUCACACAUAUUUGCUUCACGUAAACAUCAAGAAUACCUAAAAAUAUACGAAAUCAUUUAUUUACAUAAACGCAAACCCAACAACACUAACCACGAGAUCAGAACUAGUAGUAGCAAACGCAUCUCCAGCGACCGCAGGGACAGUAGUAAGUAGAUCGCUUUGACGUUUCAAGACAAGAGAGACAUCUCACGGCGAAGAGCAGAGCCAAUGGAACCGCGGCUAGGAGGAGCCAACUCAGCACAUCUUCGCCUGAGGAGACAGCAACUUCGAAUUUAACGACGGAGGAAAGGGCUAAGAGGACGAGGGCCACCGUGAUCAUGACUAUUACCGGCAACGGAGACGUCGAUACUCUACACCGUCCGCAGCAGCAGCCGUGGACAAAUUACAAAGAUCUUCUAUCCUUGAUGUUGUCUCGAUGCAAAUUACAUUUGGAUCGAUCCCACCCGCAUAUUUCUCGACCUCUCCUUUCCUUAGAGUGCUCAAGCGAUUUCUAAUGUUAUUUUGCGUUUAUAUCAUCUUCACUUUGUUAAUUAAGUAUUUUCUUAGUCUUCCUUUGCUUAGCUUUCGCUAGCUAUCGUCUCAUACACACAAUACACAUGGAGUUCUCAA
This 816-nucleotide long non-coding RNA is filed under the name Arabidopsis thaliana (thale cress). RNAcentral describes it as "ncRNA (AT2G21187)". Lineage: Eukaryota; Viridiplantae; Streptophyta; Magnoliopsida; Brassicales; Brassicaceae. The record is from RNAcentral.